Molecule: long non-coding RNA, 11121 nt
Filed under: Brassica napus (rape)
Lineage: Eukaryota; Viridiplantae; Streptophyta; Magnoliopsida; Brassicales; Brassicaceae
Description: long non-coding RNA (BNAP_LNC004767)
Source: RNAcentral
AGGUAACCUCAAUCUAACCCUUCUCCUUAAUUUUAAUUAAAAUUGGAAAAAAAAUAUUUGUAGAAGCAAGCAAAGUCGUAAAACCCAGAGACAUGUGUAAUCUUCUCUCUUGGAUGUAAUAUCACUUAGGACUAUGUUAGAUAUGGCUAAAGUAAGAGAGGUAAAUAAUGCGUAUUUAUCCCGUAAAUAAGAUGAAGCAAAUGACUAACAGUUAUAAUUACGUUCUAAAGAGAAAUAUAGCACAUGCAAUCAUAAUUCAAAAAGACGUUAUACCAUCCCAUCGAUUGUACGAAUAUUCCUGAUGAUUAAGUGUUUCAUGAAAGAAGACGAAAAAUGCCUUUAAAAAUGACGAAAAAUAUGGUUUAUGAUAAUGGUUUUGCCGAUAAUUAAUGGAUUUUAUGUGGCUUGUAUGAAGUUGUAACUGUUGCCAAGUGUUGAGCAUGUGGCCAAGAUCAUCUUCUAGCUUGUUAGAUGGAUAUGACAUAUAUGAUCCUGUCUUAUUUCCCUAUAACCUAUAUCUGCAUGCUACUUUGUCAUGUGUGUAUAGUAGAUUUAUAUAAAUAAACCAAUCAAACAUAAGACAGUAGAUAUGCAUAUAUAUAUAUAUAUUGUGGACCACUCCUCUUCCAAGCAGCUUAUUCUCCGAUAUAUAGAGUUGUUGAAUUGCGAUCAAUUUCUUAUAUUGUAAAUAAUUUUUAACAACAACAUACAGUUUUUUUUUUCUAUUAGUGCGUGUCAUCUUACAUAGGGCCAAAAAAUAUUUACUAGUUACACCGAAAAAAUCUUUACCUAGGGGCUAGGGCCAAUGUUUUAGUUCCAAUUUUAUCAAACAGUAUCCGCGAGAGGAUGAAUUAUCAUUUUGACUGAUAAGAUUUAAUUUGUUUAUUAUAGUUAUAGUUGCGAAAGUCGGCCAUAAAUUAAUGCAACAGCUGAGUGUUUGACUAUAUAUGUCGUGUAAUGGAACGUGCUUAUAUUAAUUAUGUUUUAUUGGUUGUUCUAUUCCGGUCUGGCUUCCCAGACCACCUCAAGUUUGAGUAAUAGAAGAGCCGUUUGCUGUCAAAAAAAAAAAAAAUUUAGUAUAUAAGUCACUACUUCAUAGACUGAAAUGGAAAUCAUUAGGUUUAUUUUAAUUUUAACUCAAUUAAAAUUUAUAGGUAUAUAAACAGUGAGGAUUACAGAGGAGGGUUUGAGUCAAAAGACAUUGACACGAUCAUCACCAGCAUUAGCUCCAACUACGAGGCUUGGGCGGUUGCUUUCGCCUCCGUAGUGGUUGACUCAAGAGACUCUUUGUCCGUCCAAAGGUUCGAGAAAUGCCUUAAAAAGAUGAAGCCCGAGACGGCUCUUGCUUUAGCUAAGAUUGUAUUUGGCAGCGACGAGAGAGAGCUCUUGGACCAAGUGUCAGUGCCUUGCCACGUCAUACAACCAAGAAACGACGUCGUUGUACCUGUCUCCGUCGCUUACUUCAUGCAGGAGAUGAUCAAAGGGGAAUCGACGGUGGACAUUAUUGAGGACGCGAUGGGUCACUUUCCACAAAUGACGUCACAUAUUGAGCUGCUUGGCGUCAUGAAGCGCCUCCUCCAGCUUUGAAGGAUGAAUAUAAUAAAUGAUUUGCGUCGAUAUUCUUCUUGUCUAUAAUAUUGUGUUACUAAGAUUAUGAAGUAUGUCCCUUAGUAGUAGUAUCUCUUUAUGUUUGUGUAAUGUGAGUGUGUAUUUAUUAGUACAACAACGUAAUUUCCAGUAUAAGUUAAAAGAUAAAGAGAUUAUCAUAGUGAGAGUUAAAGGAGGUAACUAAUUAAAUGGCGCAUCACUUCUUUGGGUUAAGUUAAACUGAAUUGCUUUUUUUUUUUGGGUGUAAAUGUUAAAAACUGAAUUGCUUUCUAUUGGAGUAAUCAGUUUACUUUAAACUAGAAUCCUCCGACUACAUAGAUGUUCCUAUGUAAACGUUAACAAGUUGAUGAAUAACAUGCAUAAUCAUUUUCUUGAAUUUCAACGACAUUUCUUUGAUCUUGUUUAUUCUUGUAACCAUUCUUAUAAAUUGUUGUUACACAUAUACACAAGACAAUUGGUGUUCAAAAGAAAAAAAAAACAUACACAAGACAAUUAUUGCGGACGUUGUGGUUUAGCCAUUUUCGAUGUUUGAUUAGGUAAAUUCCUUAUGAGAUGUGUAUCUGCUUUUUCAAAAAAAUGAGAUGUGUAUCUGUUGGAGGCUAAUUACCGGUAGUUCUUAUCGAAUGAUUUUUAACGUUAAAACUCCUCAACUAAGUUUUGUUUUGGGUAAAAACCUUCAAACUAAGUAUUUAACGAAUAAAUCUCAAACUAAUUUUAUUUAAAAAAUUAAACUCUUUCCGGUCAUAAUUACCAUUACUAACGGUAAAUCUUUAGUUUAGGGGUUUCUACAUUAAGUAAACAUAAUUGAAGGGUUUUACCACUAAAAACAAAAAAAAUACAAAAUUUUAUAACAUUAUCUAAAAAUUAGUAACUUAAAUUUUUCAAGAUUAGCAUUUUUAAAAAUUUCUAUAAAUAUAUGAGUUUGAUUUGUUUUUAACAUCAACAUUAUAUAUGUAUAAAUUAAAAAUGUAAAAAACCAGAAAAUAUAAUAAAAAUUAUCUAAAGAUUUAUUAUUACAUUUUUAUUAGAUAAGAUAUAAUUUUUAUAAUAUUUUCUUGUUUUUACAUUUUUAACUUUUAGAUAAUUUUUAUUACAAAUAAAUCCUUAGAUAAUUUUUGUUAUAUUUUCUGGGUAUUUAUAAUUUUAAUUAAUCAUAUAUAAUGUUGAUUUUAAAACAAAUCAGACUCAUAUAUUUAUAGAAAUUUUUCAAAAUGUUAAUUUUGAAAAUUAUAGUUACUAAUUUUUAGAUAAUAUUAUUAUAUUUUGGAUUAUUUUAAAUUUUAAUGGUAAAACCCUUUAACUAUGUUUACUUAAUAUAGAAAUGGUAAUUAUAACCAGUGACGGUUUAAUUAAUUAAAUAAAAUUAGUUUGAAGUUUUUUCGUUAAAUAUUUAGUUUAAGGGUUUUUACCCAAAACAAAUUUAUUUGAGGGGUUCUAACAUUAAAAAUCCUACAAAGAAUAGUUUAUGUUCUAACUAGGGUCGGCCCGCCCUACGGGCGGGAUAUGCUUUACUUGUGAUCUAGAUUAUUAUUUUUUGUAUGAUUUUGUGAUUUGUUUUUUAAGUUUGCAUUUGCAAGAAACGUGUAUGAUAUUCGUCUUUUAGAAAGUUCAAAGUGAGAGAUUUAUUUGUGAUAAGAUAUAUUUUGCUUGUUUACAAUAGUUGUUUCUGUCUUCCAAAAAAAUUAACUUUAUGAUACUAUAUGUUAGUUAAAUUUUAUCUACUUAAUUAAAUUAUUUGUUAUAUAAUGUGUGUUGAAUUGAUGAUAGUAUAUAAAUGUCUUUUAUUUGUAAUUCAGUGAAAACAUCAGAAUAGUGAAGUUUUAAAAAAGAAAGAAAGAUGAAUUCAUUUUUUAAAAGAUGAUUUGUUGAUGUUUAUAUAAAAAAUUUAUAUAUGAAAGUUAUGUUAUUAUUAUUUUAUCGAAUUAAGUUAUAUUUUACAUAUGUCUAAUUCAAGACCAGUAAAAUUUAUUAAUUACUGUGUCUAUUCAUUUGCCGAAUAUUAAUUUAUAGACUUUCUACUAUAUAUAUAUUAUUUAUUUUUUCAUUAUUUUGUGUCGAUAUAAUGAAUCUCCAUGUUAUCAGUUAAAUAUUUUUAUUGCCAAACAUUAUCGACUAAAGCAAUAACUUCACUGAUUGUACAAUUUGUUAACAAAAUAAAUUUGAAACUGAAGCGAACAUAUAAUGGAGUACAAACCAAAACCAGUCUCUAAUUCUAUCAAUUGUCAAUACAUAUAGUACAUUUGUAUAAUGGAGAUCUCAUAUUUUCAUAAUGGUUAUGCAAUAUUUACAUGCACUACAAGAAAACAGCGGUAUUCUGACGGACGUUCCGACGGAAAAUGAAUUCCUCGGAAUAUACCGAGGAAUUUCCGAGGCAAUUCCGAGGAAACCCAAAAUUUGGCUUCCUCGGAAUUUCCUCGGAAUAUACCGACGGAAUUCCGAGGAAAAUUCAUUUCGUCGGAAUAUUCCGACGGAAUACCGAGGAAAAUAGUAUUCCUCGGAAAAAACCGAUGAAUUCCGAGGAAAUAUUAUAGACGUUAGAGAGCCGUUGGAGAGCCGUUGGGGGGAUUUUAAAAAUUCCGAGGAAAUUCCGAGGUUUUUAUCAUUUAAGAUUUAUAUUCAGAUAAUGUUUAAAAUAUUUUUGAAAUUUAAUCAGUAAUAUUUUGUAUAUAUUGUAAUGAAAAUAAAACUAUAUGCAUUAUAAAUAUUUUUGGGCCUUUUUCAAUUUUAUUUAUUAUAUUUAUAAUUUUUUUAUAUAAAAAUAUAGAUUUUUUUAAAAAAUUGGACCCCUUAACUAUUAACAUACGGAGAUAUUAACAUACGGAGGACACGGGCUUGGACCCGAAACGGUCACACCGCUUAUCCCCUCCUCAGCCGGCCCUGGAUGUAUAGUAGACUGAUAUUAAUUUUAGAAUUCUUUUCACAUACCAUAAAUUGGAUACUACUUUUCAGAUACACAUUCAAUAAAAAAAUACCCUAACAUUUAGGUUUAUGGUUUAGUGAGUAUUUAAGGGGUGAGUUGGAUUUAUAAACUUUUUGUUUGACCAAAACAAGUUGGAUUUAUAAGCUUCUAUUAAUAAUUCUUAAGCAUAUAUAAAUGUGUUUGAUCAAAAAAAGCAUUUAUAAAUGAUUUAGAAGAGUUAGUUUAGUUUUUUCAAUCGCAAAUUUAAGAUAUUUAUGAAAAUGAUCAUUUUGUGAAAAUAAAUUAAAAAUGAUAUCAAAUUUUUGGUAUUAACUUCUAAAUUUUAGGAGAAUUAUACGGAAAUAGUGGGCAGAAGGUUUACACGUAUUCAUAGACGAUAGACUUCCACAUGAUUAUGAAUAUUGAUGUUUUGAGCAAAAAAAACAAUGAUGUAAAUAGUUUAUUAGAUUUCUCCGUUGUGAUCAUUUCAUUAGGUAGAGCAUGAUUAACUAAUGAUAAUAUGUAUUAAUUUUAUGUUAGUGUAGUGUAUUUAAAUCAUGUUAAUGACUACACGUCACAAUACUUAAUGGUGCAUUUACAUGUACAAACAAAAGUAGUUCAUGUAAGUUUACUUUCAGUCCAGAUAACUAUACCUUUUUAAUACCAAAAAGUAAGGAUUCGUUUUCAUAUAUGUUUUAUUUAUGCUGAAUAUUGAUUUUUCCUAUAAGAUGCUAUGUAGAUGAACAAUGAAUACAAAUACAGUCAUUGUUGAAAAGGCCAUAAAUGUUGGAUGUACCAAAAUGCGAGCCUAAUAAAAUCGGUGGUUGGAUGUCAAUUAAGAACCAUAUAUAGACCUAAUCCAUUUCUUUUCUCCCUUUAUAUAUAUGCACAAAAGAUACUAAAGCCUUGUCUCAUCUCUAAAAGCACAAUUAUAGUUAAGAAUGGUGGUUAACCAGAAGAUAUCCAGUCUCUCAGCCGCUAUGAACGCCAAGAUCAUCGGUUCUGGUGAGAGGUCAAUGGUAUUGGCGCACGGGUUUGGAGGCGACCAGUCGGUUUGGGACAAGAUAAUACCGGUUCUGUCCCAAUCUUUUAAGGUUUUAGUCUUUGACUGGCUUUUCUCUGGAGCCAUCAAAGACCAAACUCUAUACGAUCCUUCAAAGUAUAAUUCCCUCGACCCCUUCUCUGACGAUCUUAUUGCUCUUAUGGAGGAGUUGAAGUUUGGCCCCGUUGUGUUCGUAGGCCAUUCCAUGUCGGGCAUGAUCGGUUGUGCUGCUUCUAUUAAAAGGCCCGAUUUGUUUACAAAUCUUAUCCCUAUUGCUGCUUCACCCAGGUAACCUCAAUCUAACCCUUCUCCUUAAUUUUAAUUAAAAUUGGAAAAAAAAUAUUUGUAGAAGCAAGCAAAGUCGUAAAACCCAGAGACAUGUGUAAUCUUCUCUCUUGGAUGUAAUAUCACUUAGGACUAUGUUAGAUAUGGCUAAAGUAAGAGAGGUAAAUAAUGCGUAUUUAUCCCGUAAAUAAGAUGAAGCAAAUGACUAACAGUUAUAAUUACGUUCUAAAGAGAAAUAUAGCACAUGCAAUCAUAAUUCAAAAAGACGUUAUACCAUCCCAUCGAUUGUACGAAUAUUCCUGAUGAUUAAGUGUUUCAUGAAAGAAGACGAAAAAUGCCUUUAAAAAUGACGAAAAAUAUGGUUUAUGAUAAUGGUUUUGCCGAUAAUUAAUGGAUUUUAUGUGGCUUGUAUGAAGUUGUAACUGUUGCCAAGUGUUGAGCAUGUGGCCAAGAUCAUCUUCUAGCUUGUUAGAUGGAUAUGACAUAUAUGAUCCUGUCUUAUUUCCCUAUAACCUAUAUCUGCAUGCUACUUUGUCAUGUGUGUAUAGUAGAUUUAUUUAAAUAAACCAAUCAAACAUAAGACAGUAGAUAUGCAUAUACAUUGUGGACCAUUCAUCUUCCAAGCAGCUUAUUCUCCGAUAUAUAGAGUUGUUGAAUUGCGAUCAAUUUCUUGUAUUGUAAAUAAUUUUUAACAACAACAUACAGUUUUUUUUCUAUUAGUGCGUGUCAUCUUACAUAGGGCCAAAAAAUAUUUACUAGUUAUACCGAAAAAAUCUUUACCUAGGGGCUAGGGCCAAUGUUUUAGUUCCAAUUUUAUCAAACAGUAUCCGCGAAAGGAUGAAUUAUCAUUUUGACUGAUAAGAUUUAAUUUGUUUAUUAUAGUUAUAGUUGAGAAAGUCGGCCAUAAAUUAAUGCAACAGCUGAGUGUUUGACUGUAUAUGUCGUCUAAUGGAACGUGCUUAUAUAUAAACAACUUUAAUUAAAUGAUCAAAUUUAGUAUAUAAGUCAGUACUUCAUAGACUGAAAUGGAAAUCAUUAGGUUUAUUUUAAUUUCUACCCAAUUAAAAUUUAUAGGUAUAUAAACAGUGAGGAUUACAGAGGAGGGUUUGAAUCAAAAGACAUUGACACGAUCAUCACCAGCAUUAGCUCCAACUACGAGGCUUGGGCGGUUGCUUUCACCUCCGUAGUGGUUGACUCAAGAGACUCUUUGUCCGUCCAAAGGUUCGAGAAAUGCCUUAAAAAGAUGAAGCCCGAGACGGCUCUUGCUUUAGCUAAGAUUGUAUUUGGCAGCGACGAGAGAGAGCUCUUGGACCAAGUGUCAGUGCCUUGCCACGUCAUACAACCAAGAAACGACGUCGUUGUACCUGUCUCCGUCGCUUACUUCAUGCAGGAGAAGAUCAAAGGGGAAUCGACGGUGGACAUUAUUGAGGACGCGAUGGGUCACUUUCCACAAAUGACGUCACAUAUUGAGCUGCUUGGCGUCAUGAAGCGCCUCCUCCAGCUUUGAAGGAUGAAUAUAAUAAAUGAUUUGCGUCGAUAUUCUUCUUGUCUAUAAUAUUGUGUUACUAAGAUUAUGAAGUGUGUCCCUUAGUAGUAGUAUCUCUUUAUGUUUGUGUAAUGUGAGUGUGUAUUUAUUAGUACAACAAAGUAAUUUCCAGUAUAAGUUAAAAGAUAAAGAGAUUAUCAUAGUGAGAGUUCUAAUGACCAGUUGCAAAUACCAACCCAAAAUCCAAACUAAGAACGCAAAAUAAAUUAAAAAUAUUUUCAAAAGUUAUGCAAUUAACUAGAUUUUUUCGUUAAUUGAGAAGUCAAAAGAGUACAACUCUUAUCACCAUACUUUUUUCGUUUUUAUACCAACUUUUCCCGGUUGGUGGGGGAGAUCGACUCCACACACAGCUAAACUUUUGAAAUAUAAACUUUUGAAGUAUCAGAUAUGUAAAGUAGAUCAUUGCUGUUAUGUGCUUCACAAACUAAAACAUUGAGUACACAAUUUAUAUCGUGUUAUUUUUCUUCAUAUCCAUUACUUAUCUGCAUAUUUUAAACUCUCGAAAAUUACAAGUCGCUCCCGUCUCUAUUUUGACCCUACGUAGAUGUAUACAUGGCCGGCUUAACAUUGUUAUGGUUCAUAAGGCAAAAAAUUGUUUUUAUCAUUUAAGAUUUAUAUUCAGAUAAUGUUUAAAAUAUUUUUGAAAUUUAAUCAGUAAUAUUUUGUAUAUAUUGUAAUGAAAAUAAAACUAUAUGCAUUAUAAAUAUUUUUGGGCCUUUUUCAAUUUUAUUUAUUAUAUUUAUAAUUUUUUUAUAUAAAAAUAUAGAUUUUUUUAAAAAAUUGGACCCCUUAACUAUUAACAUACGGAGAUAUUAACAUACGGAGGACACGGGCUUGGACCCGAAACGGUCACACCGCUUAUCCCCUCCUCAGCCGGCCCUGGAUGUAUAGUAGACUGAUAUUAAUUUUAGAAUUCUUUUCACAUACCAUAAAUUGGAUACUACUUUUCAGAUACACAUUCAAUAAAAAAAUACCCUAACAUUUAGGUUUAUGGUUUAGUGAGUAUUUAAGGGGUGAGUUGGAUUUAUAAACUUUUUGUUUGACCAAAACAAGUUGGAUUUAUAAGCUUCUAUUAAUAAUUCUUAAGCAUAUAUAAAUGUGUUUGAUCAAAAAAAGCAUUUAUAAAUGAUUUAGAAGAGUUAGUUUAGUUUUUUCAAUCGCAAAUUUAAGAUAUUUAUGAAAAUGAUCAUUUUGUGAAAAUAAAUUAAAAAUGAUAUCAAAUUUUUGGUAUUAACUUCUAAAUUUUAGGAGAAUUAUACGGAAAUAGUGGGCAGAAGGUUUACACGUAUUCAUAGACGAUAGACUUCCACAUGAUUAUGAAUAUUGAUGUUUUGAGCAAAAAAAACAAUGAUGUAAAUAGUUUAUUAGAUUUCUCCGUUGUGAUCAUUUCAUUAGGUAGAGCAUGAUUAACUAAUGAUAAUAUGUAUUAAUUUUAUGUUAGUGUAGUGUAUUUAAAUCAUGUUAAUGACUACACGUCACAAUACUUAAUGGUGCAUUUACAUGUACAAACAAAAGUAGUUCAUGUAAGUUUACUUUCAGUCCAGAUAACUAUACCUUUUUAAUACCAAAAAGUAAGGAUUCGUUUUCAUAUAUGUUUUAUUUAUGCUGAAUAUUGAUUUUUCCUAUAAGAUGCUAUGUAGAUGAACAAUGAAUACAAAUACAGUCAUUGUUGAAAAGGCCAUAAAUGUUGGAUGUACCAAAAUGCGAGCCUAAUAAAAUCGGUGGUUGGAUGUCAAUUAAGAACCAUAUAUAGACCUAAUCCAUUUCUUUUCUCCCUUUAUAUAUAUGCACAAAAGAUACUAAAGCCUUGUCUCAUCUCUAAAAGCACAAUUAUAGUUAAGAAUGGUGGUUAACCAGAAGAUAUCCAGUCUCUCAGCCGCUAUGAACGCCAAGAUCAUCGGUUCUGGUGAGAGGUCAAUGGUAUUGGCGCACGGGUUUGGAGGCGACCAGUCGGUUUGGGACAAGAUAAUACCGGUUCUGUCCCAAUCUUUUAAGGUUUUAGUCUUUGACUGGCUUUUCUCUGGAGCCAUCAAAGACCAAACUCUAUACGAUCCUUCAAAGUAUAAUUCCCUCGACCCCUUCUCUGACGAUCUUAUUGCUCUUAUGGAGGAGUUGAAGUUUGGCCCCGUUGUGUUCGUAGGCCAUUCCAUGUCGGGCAUGAUCGGUUGUGCUGCUUCUAUUAAAAGGCCCGAUUUGUUUACAAAUCUUAUCCCUAUUGCUGCUUCACCCAGGUAACCUCAAUCUAACCCUUCUCCUUAAUUUUAAUUAAAAUUGGAAAAAAAAUAUUUGUAGAAGCAAGCAAAGUCGUAAAACCCAGAGACAUGUGUAAUCUUCUCUCUUGGAUGUAAUAUCACUUAGGACUAUGUUAGAUAUGGCUAAAGUAAGAGAGGUAAAUAAUGCGUAUUUAUCCCGUAAAUAAGAUGAAGCAAAUGACUAACAGUUAUAAUUACGUUCUAAAGAGAAAUAUAGCACAUGCAAUCAUAAUUCAAAAAGACGUUAUACCAUCCCAUCGAUUGUACGAAUAUUCCUGAUGAUUAAGUGUUUCAUGAAAGAAGACGAAAAAUGCCUUUAAAAAUGACGAAAAAUAUGGUUUAUGAUAAUGGUUUUGCCGAUAAUUAAUGGAUUUUAUGUGGCUUGUAUGAAGUUGUAACUGUUGCCAAGUGUUGAGCAUGUGGCCAAGAUCAUCUUCUAGCUUGUUAGAUGGAUAUGACAUAUAUGAUCCUGUCUUAUUUCCCUAUAACCUAUAUCUGCAUGCUACUUUGUCAUGUGUGUAUAGUAGAUUUAUUUAAAUAAACCAAUCAAACAUAAGACAGUAGAUAUGCAUAUACAUUGUGGACCAUUCAUCUUCCAAGCAGCUUAUUCUCCGAUAUAUAGAGUUGUUGAAUUGCGAUCAAUUUCUUGUAUUGUAAAUAAUUUUUAACAACAACAUACAGUUUUUUUUCUAUUAGUGCGUGUCAUCUUACAUAGGGCCAAAAAAUAUUUACUAGUUAUACCGAAAAAAUCUUUACCUAGGGGCUAGGGCCAAUGUUUUAGUUCCAAUUUUAUCAAACAGUAUCCGCGAAAGGAUGAAUUAUCAUUUUGACUGAUAAGAUUUAAUUUGUUUAUUAUAGUUAUAGUUGAGAAAGUCGGCCAUAAAUUAAUGCAACAGCUGAGUGUUUGACUGUAUAUGUCGUCUAAUGGAACGUGCUUAUAUAUAAACAACUUUAAUUAAAUGAUCAAAUUUAGUAUAUAAGUCAGUACUUCAUAGACUGAAAUGGAAAUCAUUAGGUUUAUUUUAAUUUCUACCCAAUUAAAAUUUAUAGGUAUAUAAACAGUGAGGAUUACAGAGGAGGGUUUGAAUCAAAAGACAUUGACACGAUCAUCACCAGCAUUAGCUCCAACUACGAGGCUUGGGCGGUUGCUUUCACCUCCGUAGUGGUUGACUCAAGAGACUCUUUGUCCGUCCAAAGGUUCGAGAAAUGCCUUAAAAAGAUGAAGCCCGAGACGGCUCUUGCUUUAGCUAAGAUUGUAUUUGGCAGCGACGAGAGAGAGCUCUUGGACCAAGUGUCAGUGCCUUGCCACGUCAUACAACCAAGAAACGACGUCGUUGUACCUGUCUCCGUCGCUUACUUCAUGCAGGAGAAGAUCAAAGGGGAAUCGACGGUGGACAUUAUUGAGGACGCGAUGGGUCACUUUCCACAAAUGACGUCACAUAUUGAGCUGCUUGGCGUCAUGAAGCGCCUCCUCCAGCUUUGAAGGAUG